RNAcentral lists this ribosomal RNA (253 nucleotides) under uncultured bacterium. RNAcentral describes it as "partial 16S ribosomal RNA". It matches the Rfam family "Bacterial small subunit ribosomal RNA", at positions 524 to 776 of the family's 1533-position model. The record is from RNAcentral.
UACGGAGGGUGCAAGCGUUAUCCGGAUUUACUGGGCUUAAAGGGUGCGUAGGUGGGUUGAUAAGUCAGUGGUGAAAUCCCCGAGCUUAACUUGGGAACUGCCAUUGAUACUAUUGAUCUUGAAUACCGUGGAGGUCAGCGGAAUAUGUCAUGUAGCGGUGAAAUGCUUAGAUAUGACAUAGAACACCAAUUGCGAAGGCAGCUUACUGCAGGGAUAUUGACACUGAGGCACGAGAGCGUGGGGAUCAAACAGG